This 253-nucleotide ribosomal RNA is filed under the name uncultured bacterium. RNAcentral describes it as "partial 16S ribosomal RNA". It matches the Rfam family "Bacterial small subunit ribosomal RNA", at positions 524 to 776 of the family's 1533-position model. The record is from RNAcentral.
UACGGAGGGUGCAAGCGUUAUCCGGAUUCACUGGGUUUAAAGGGUGUGUAGGCGGACUUUUAAGUCAGCGGUGAAAUCUCCGGGCUCAACCCGGAAACUGCCAUUGAUACUAUUGGUCUUGAAUGUUGUUGAGGUGGGCGGAACGGGUCAUGUAGCGGUGAAAUGCAUAGAUAUGACCCGGAACACCGAUUGCGAAGGCAGCCCACUAAGCAACGAUUGACGCUGAGGCACGAAAGCGUGGGGAUCAAACAGG